GGUCUGUCAGUCUGACCACUUCGGUAUAGGAUUCUAAGCAGUAUGCCUUCUACCCUUUUCCGACCAUGGUCAGGUCUUCUCUCGGCAGCAAAAAUCCAAUCUUCUUCCAGCAUCAUCCUGGGCUCUCGAACGAGAACCCUCAGAAACCUGCUUGGAAGCAGUACCAGCAUGAGCAUUCUUUGAAGGACCCAAUCAAUCCUUGACAGAUACUCAUUGUGUAGACGAAGUCAUAGCCAUCGGGUAUCCUUUAGAGGUAACUGUUCUACUCUUCUUCACCAUGGAUUCCGACGUAGAGCAGCUACAAUUUGUGAUUGAAAACUUCAAGAACACUAGAACACAGCCCUCCUUCUAGCGCCAAUGUUAACGCCAGAAUCUUUCUCCACGUCCCAAUCACGUAAGACGUCCUGAUCCUGCACAGUAAACACAGUCAACACCAAAAGCUUGACUGCUUGGACCGUCGGGGGAUAGCUCCGGCGUGAGAGUCAGUACAGGCGAUCACAAGGUUAACAAUGGAGGAAUAAAUAUCUAGUGACUUGAGAGCAAUAAUUCAUGAGUUACCUUUCACCGUGUGUCAUCCUUGCUUUAUAUC
RNAcentral lists this long non-coding RNA (589 nucleotides) under Panax ginseng (ginseng). Its description in RNAcentral is "long non-coding RNA (PGIN_LNC013933)". The record is from RNAcentral. Lineage: Eukaryota; Viridiplantae; Streptophyta; Magnoliopsida; Apiales; Araliaceae.